RNAcentral lists this transfer RNA (68 nucleotides) under Eurycotis sp. B074. Its description in RNAcentral is "tRNA-Phe". It matches the Rfam family "tRNA". From Rfam's summary of the family: Transfer RNA (tRNA) molecules are approximately 80 nucleotides in length. The record is from RNAcentral. Lineage: Eukaryota; Metazoa; Arthropoda; Insecta; Blattodea; Blattidae.
ACUUGAAUAGCUUAUAAAAUAGAGCAUAACAUUGAAGAUGUUAAGGAAGUUAAUUUAAUUUUUAAGUA